GGGUUGUGAGGUUAAGCGACUAAGCGUACACGGUGGAUGCCCUGGCAGUCAGAGGCGAUGAAGGACGUGCUAAUCUGCGAUAAGCGUCGGUAAGGUGAUAUGAACCGUUAUAACCGGCGAUUUCCGAAUGGGGAAACCCAGUGUGAUUCGUCACACUAUCAUUAACUGAAUCCAUAGGUUAAUGAGGCGAACCGGGGGAACUGAAACAUCUAAGUACCCCGAGGAAAAGAAAUCAACCGAGAUUCCCCCAGUAGCGGCGAGCGAACGGGGAGCAGCCCAGAGCCUGAAUCAGUGUGUGUGUUAGUGGAAGCGUCUGGAAAGGCGCGCGAUACAGGGUGACAGCCCCGUACACAAAAAUGCACAUGCUGUGAGCUCGAUGAGUAGGGCGGGACACGUGGUAUCCUGUCUGAAUAUGGGGGGACCAUCCUCCAAGGCUAAAUACUCCUGACUGACCGAUAGUGAACCAGUACCGUGAGGGAAAGGCGAAAAGAACCCCGGCGAGGGGAGUGAAAAAGAACCUGAAACCGUGUACGUACAAGCAGUGGGAGCACAGAGCAAUCUGUGUGACUGCGUACCUUUUGUAUAAUGGGUCAGCGACUUAUAUUCUGUAGCAAGGUUAACCGAAUAGGGGAGCCGAAGGGAAACCGAGUCUUAACUGGGCGUUAAGUUGCAGGGUAUAGACCCGAAACCCGGUGAUCUAGCCAUGGGCAGGUUGAAGGUUGGGUAACACUAACUGGAGGACCGAACCGACUAAUGUUGAAAAAUUAGCGGAUGACUUGUGGCUGGGGGUGAAAGGCCAAUCAAACCGGGAGAUAGCUGGUUCUCCCCGAAAGCUAUUUAGGUAGCGCCUCGUGAAUUCAUCUCCGGGGGUAGAGCACUGUUUCGGCAAGGGGGUCAUCCCGACUUACCAACCCGAUGCAAACUGCGAAUACCGGAGAAUGUUAUCACGGGAGACACACGGCGGGUGCUAACGUCCGUCGUGAAGAGGGAAACAACCCAGACCGCCAGCUAAGGUCCCAAAGUCAUGGUUAAGUGGGAAACGAUGUGGGAAGGCCCAGACAGCCAGGAUGUUGGCUUAGAAGCAGCCAUCAUUUAAAGAAAGCGUAAUAGCUCACUGGUCGAGUCGGCCUGCGCGGAAGAUGUAACGGGGCUAAACCAUGCACCGAAGCUGCGGCAGCGACGCUUAUGCGUUGUUGGGUAGGGGAGCGUUCUGUAAGCCUGCGAAGGUGUGCUGUGAGGCAUGCUGGAGGUAUCAGAAGUGCGAAUGCUGACAUAAGUAACGAUAAAGCGGGUGAAAAGCCCGCUCGCCGGAAGACCAAGGGUUCCUGUCCAACGUUAAUCGGGGCAGGGUGAGUCGACCCCUAAGGCGAGGCCGAAAGGCGUAGUCGAUGGGAAACAGGUUAAUAUUCCUGUACUUGGUGUUACUGCGAAGGGGGGACGGAGAAGGCUAUGUUGGCCGGGCGACGGUUGUCCCGGUUUAAGCGUGUAGGCUGGUUUUCCAGGCAAAUCCGGAAAAUCAAGGCUGAGGCGUGAUGACGAGGCACUACGGUGCUGAAGCAACAAAUGCCCUGCUUCCAGGAAAAGCCUCUAAGCAUCAGGUAACAUCAAAUCGUACCCCAAACCGACACAGGUGGUCAGGUAGAGAAUACCAAGGCGCUUGAGAGAACUCGGGUGAAGGAACUAGGCAAAAUGGUGCCGUAACUUCGGGAGAAGGCACGCUGAUAUGUAGGUGAAGUCCCUCGCGGAUGGAGCUGAAAUCAGUCGAAGAUACCAGCUGGCUGCAACUGUUUAUUAAAAACACAGCACUGUGCAAACACGAAAGUGGACGUAUACGGUGUGACGCCUGCCCGGUGCCGGAAGGUUAAUUGAUGGGGUCAGCGCAAGCGAAGCUCUUGAUCGAAGCCCCGGUAAACGGCGGCCGUAACUAUAACGGUCCUAAGGUAGCGAAAUUCCUUGUCGGGUAAGUUCCGACCUGCACGAAUGGCGUAAUGAUGGCCAGGCUGUCUCCACCCGAGACUCAGUGAAAUUGAACUCGCUGUGAAGAUGCAGUGUACCCGCGGCAAGACGGAAAGACCCCGUGAACCUUUACUAUAGCUUGACACUGAACAUUGAGCCUUGAUGUGUAGGAUAGGUGGGAGGCUUUGAAGUGUGGACGCCAGUCUGCAUGGAGCCGACCUUGAAAUACCACCCUUUAAUGUUUGAUGUUCUAACGUUGACCCGUGAUCCGGGUUGCGGACAGUGUCUGGUGGGUAGUUUGACUGGGGCGGUCUCCUCCUAAAGAGUAACGGAGGAGCACGAAGGUUGGCUAAUCCUGGUCGGACAUCAGGAGGUUAGUGCAAUGGCAUAAGCCAGCUUGACUGCGAGCGUGACGGCGCGAGCAGGUGCGAAAGCAGGUCAUAGUGAUCCGGUGGUUCUGAAUGGAAGGGCCAUCGCUCAACGGAUAAAAGGUACUCCGGGGAUAACAGGCUGAUACCGCCCAAGAGUUCAUAUCGACGGCGGUGUUUGGCACCUCGAUGUCGGCUCAUCACAUCCUGGGGCUGAAGUAGGUCCCAAGGGUAUGGCUGUUCGCCAUUUAAAGUGGUACGCGAGCUGGGUUUAGAACGUCGUGAGACAGUUCGGUCCCUAUCUGCCGUGGGCGCUGGAGAAUUGAGGGGGGCUGCUCCUAGUACGAGAGGACCGGAGUGGACGCAUCACUGGUGUUCGGGUUGUCAUGCCAAUGGCACUGCCCGGUAGCUAAAUGCGGAAGAGAUAAGUGCUGAAAGCAUCUAAGCACGAAACUUGCCCCGAGAUGAGUUCUCCCUGACUCCUUGAGAGUCCUGAAGGAACGUUGAAGACGACGACGUUGAUAGGCCGGGUGUGUAAGCGCAGCGAUGCGUUGAGCUAACCGGUACUAAUGAACCGUGAGGCUUAACCUUACAACGCCGAAGGUGUUU
This 2933-nucleotide ribosomal RNA is filed under the name Escherichia coli. Its description in RNAcentral is "bacterial LSU rRNA". It matches the Rfam family "Bacterial large subunit ribosomal RNA". Lineage: Bacteria; Pseudomonadati; Pseudomonadota; Gammaproteobacteria; Enterobacterales; Enterobacteriaceae. The record is from RNAcentral.